Molecule: long non-coding RNA, 767 nt
Filed under: Malus domestica (apple)
Lineage: Eukaryota; Viridiplantae; Streptophyta; Magnoliopsida; Rosales; Rosaceae
Description: long non-coding RNA (MDOM_LNC001339)
Source: RNAcentral
AGCUGUUAAAUUGGUACAGUUACUCAUAUAAAUCCAUGCAUGGAGUUUAAUGACUUACCCAAGCCCGGAACCUCAAUGAGAGUUUGGGUGACUCCCUUACAUUCAGUUUUCUCAUAUUUGACAUUUCCAAAAAACUGGGCAUUGUUUUCAAUGCAGGGCAAUUAGAGGCGUACAAAAAUUUCAAAUUUGUUGGUAAAUCAAGGAUUGUAUGAAGGUUAAAGCGUUGAUCUAACCGUAGAGUUUCAAGCUUUGACAGACUACUGAGGUUGGGUAGAGCAUAAAAAUCAUUUCGUCGAACAUCCAAAUAUUGCAAGGAAAUUAGACUCCCAAGACCCAUAACGAUUGCAUCAUCAUCUAUGUCGCACAAAUAGCAGUGGAACGAAUAGGGAGAAUGAACACACCCAAACCUUACGGUUAGAGAUAAGCGAGUGAGAUUCUUCAAUCUUAGUAUGGAAGGUGGUACUUCUCUUAUGGUUGUUUCCUCUGCUUCAAGUAUUCUCAAUGAUAUCAUCUCCCCUAAAUCCUUAUGCAGUUUACUGAAUUUUGAACAGUAAUUAAGACAGAGUGAACAGAUUUGGACCUUUAGAAAUCCCUUGGAAGAGAACUAAGCAUUCUGCAUCCGUUUAGGUUCACCAAAGAAAGUCUUUUAAGACGACCAAUGUAGGGGUGAAUCUCAGACAAAUUGAUACAGCGUUCCAAUAUCAACUCUUCAAGAUUUGGGACUUGUGAAAAGUCCAGUGAUUUAAUUAGGUAAUCAGAAAAACUAA